AGAGUUUGAUCCUGGCUCAGGAUGAACGCUAGCGACAGGCCUAACACAUGCAAGUCGAGGGGCAUCGGGGCGAGGAGCAAUCCUUGCCGCCGGCGACCGGCGCACGGGUGAGUAACGCGUAUGCGACCUGCCCGUUGCAGGGGGAUAAUCGGGAGAAAUCCCGUCUAAUACCGCGUAAUGCCGCGGGGCUGCAUGGCCCUGCGGCCAAAGGGAGCGAUUCCGGCAACGGAUGGGCAUGCGUGACAUUAGCUAGUUGGCGGGGCAACGGCCCACCAAGGCGACGAUGUCUAGGGGUUCUGAGAGGAAGGUCCCCCACACUGGUACUGAGACACGGACCAGACUCCUACGGGAGGCAGCAGUGAGGAAUAUUGGUCAAUGGGCGCGAGCCUGAACCAGCCAAGUCGCGUGAGGGAUGACGGCCCUACGGGUUGUAAACCUCUUUUGUCGGGGAGCAAAUUCCGCCACGUGUGGCGGAGUCGAGAGUACCCGAAGAAAAAGCAUCGGCUAACUCCGUGCCAGCAGCCGCGGUAAUACGGAGGAUGCGAGCGUUAUCCGGAUUUAUUGGGUUUAAAGGGUGCGUAGGCGGACUGUCAAGUCAGCGGUAAAAUACGGGGGCUCAACCUCCGCCCGCCGUUGAAACUGACGGUCUUGAGUGGGCGAGAAGUAUGCGGAAUGCGUGGUGUAGCGGUGAAAUGCAUAGAUAUCACGCAGAACUCCGAUUGCGAAGGCAGCAUACCGGCGCCCAACUGACGCUGAAGCACGAAAGCGUGGGUAUCGAACAGGAUUAGAUACCCUGGUAGUCCACGCAGUAAACGAUGAAUACUAGCUGUCCGGGGCGAAUGAGCCCUGGGUGGCACAGCGAAAGCGUUAAGUAUUCCACCUGGGGCGUACGCCGGCAACGGUGAAACUCAAAGGAAUUGACGGGGGCCCGCACAAGCGGAGGAACAUGUGGUUUAAUUCGAUGAUACGCGAGGAACCUUACCCGGGCUCAAACGACACAGGAACGUACCUGAAAGGGUUCGGCUCUACGGAGCCUGUGUCGAGGUGCUGCAUGGUUGUCGUCAGCUCGUGCCGUGAGGUGUCGGCUUAAGUGCCAUAACGAGCGCAACCCCCAUCGACAGUUGCUAACAUGUCAGGCUGAGGACUCUGUCGAGACUGCCGGCGCAAGCUGCGAGGAAGGCGGGGAUGACGUCAAAUCAGCACGGCCCUUACGUCCGGGGCGACACACGUGUUACAAUGGCAGGUACAGCGGGAAGCCACCUGGCGAUAGGGAGCGGAACCCGAAAGCCUGUCUCAGUUCGGAUUGGAGUCUGCAACCCGACUCCAUGAAGCUGGAUUCGCUAGUAAUCGCGCAUCAGCCACGGCGCGGUGAAUACGUUCCCGGGCCUUGUACUCACCGCCCGUCA
This 1406-nucleotide ribosomal RNA is filed under the name uncultured bacterium. RNAcentral describes it as "16S ribosomal RNA". It matches the Rfam family "Bacterial small subunit ribosomal RNA". The record is from RNAcentral.